UGCGUAGGCGGCUCUUUAAGUCAGUGGUGAAAUCUUGCCGCUUAACGGUAAAAUUGCCAUUGAUACUGAAGAGCUUGAGUACAGUUGAGGUAAGCGGAAUGUGUAGUGUAGCGGUGAAAUGCUUAGAUAUUACACAGAACACCAAUUGCGAAGGCAGCUUACUAAACUGUUACUGACGCUGAUGCACGAAAGCGUGGGGAGCGAACAGGAUUAGAUACCCUGGUAGUCCACGCCGUAAACGAUGCUCACUCGCUGUUUGCGAUACACAGCAAGCGGCCAAGCGAAAGCAUUAAGUGAGCCACCUGGGAGUACGAUCGCAAGGUUGAA
Molecule: ribosomal RNA, 327 nt
Filed under: uncultured bacterium
Lineage: Bacteria
Description: bacterial SSU rRNA
Rfam family: Bacterial small subunit ribosomal RNA
Source: RNAcentral